GCAAAUCUUAUCAUUCUAGCUCAAAGUAUUGAGGAAUUGCAACGUGGAUUAACUAAAAAAGAUGAAGAUAUGCGGGCAAUGGAGGAAAGGUACAAAAUGUACCUCGAGAAAGCUCGUAAUGUAAUUAAAGCUCUGGACCCAAAACAGAACCCCGUGACUACAGAAAUCCAGGCACUCAAAACCCAGAUCAUUGAGAGGGACAAAAAAAUACAAAUGCUGCAGCAUGAUUGUGAGCAAGCAAAACUUCGUGAGCAUGAGGAGAAGUUGUUAGUAACAGCGUGGUACAAUAAG
Molecule: long non-coding RNA, 291 nt
Organism: Hypanus sabinus (Atlantic stingray)
Lineage: Eukaryota; Metazoa; Chordata; Chondrichthyes; Myliobatiformes; Dasyatidae
Exons: 3
Source: RefSeq, a predicted model, not a curated record